RNAcentral lists this ribosomal RNA (834 nucleotides) under Salmonella enterica subsp. enterica serovar Anatum. RNAcentral's name for it is "partial 23S ribosomal RNA". It matches the Rfam family "Bacterial large subunit ribosomal RNA", at positions 502 to 1223 of the family's 2925-position model. Lineage: Bacteria; Pseudomonadati; Pseudomonadota; Gammaproteobacteria; Enterobacterales; Enterobacteriaceae. The record is from RNAcentral.
CGUGAGGGAAAGGCGAAAAGAACCCCGGCGAGGGGAGUGAAAAAGAACCUGAAACCGUGUACGUACAAGCAGUGGGAGCCCCACCACUAAGCCAGUGGUGAACUCCACAUACGCAUCCUUUGCUGAGGAUACGGUUAACGGAGCGAAAGCGACGUUCAACCGCAAAACAAGCAGAGGGGGCUUAGUGGUGGGGUGACUGCGUACCUUUUGUAUAAUGGGUCAGCGACUUAUAUUCUGUAGCAAGGUUAACCGAAUAGGGGAGCCGUAGGGAAACCGAGUCUUAACCGGGCGUUAAGUUGCAGGGUAUAGACCCGAAACCCGGUGAUCUAGCCAUGGGCAGGUUGAAGGUUGGGUAACACUAACUGGAGGACCGAACCGACUAAUGUUGAAAAAUUAGCGGAUGACCUGUGGCUGGGGGUGAAAGGCCAAUCAAACCGGGAGAUAGCUGGUUCUCCCCGAAAGCUAUUUAGGUAGCGCCUCGUGAAUUCAUCUCCGGGGGUAGAGCACUGUUUCGGCUAGGGGGCCAUCCCGGCUUACCAACCCGAUGCAAACUGCGAAUACCGGAGAAUGUUAUCACGGGAGACACACGGCGGGUGCUAACGUCCGUCGUGAAGAGGGAAACAACCCAGACCGCCAGCUAAGGUCCCAAAGUCAUGGUUAAGUGGGAAACGAUGUGGGAAGGCCCAGACAGCCAGGAUGUUGGCUUAGAAGCAGCCAUCAUUUAAAGAAAGCGUAAUAGCUCACUGGUCGAGUCGGCCUGCGCGGAAGAUGUAACGGGGCUAAACCAUGCACCGAAGCUGCGGCAGCGAACGUAUCACUUAAAGCGAUUCAGCG